Molecule: small nucleolar RNA, 88 nt
Organism: Gastrolobium bilobum
Lineage: Eukaryota; Viridiplantae; Streptophyta; Magnoliopsida; Fabales; Fabaceae
Source: RefSeq, a predicted model, not a curated record
UGGCGAUGAUUACAUAUUAUCCGCGCUUCUGAGUUUUCUCGAUGAAGUACAAAGGAUAAAAAUUGGUUGAAUUUCUUGAUAUGAGCCA